CGAAAGGAAGGAGGGAGGAGACAAGGAGAGAGCAGUGCGCAGGCGUGUUCCCUAGGCGCCGGCCCCUGGGAGGAGCAAGUCGUGGGCCGCCUUUGGGCUCAGCGGAUGGAGGCGCGGGGUGGGGUGGAGUCCUAAGGAGCACAGACCCGAAUUGCAGGAUUCUACCAAGAUCCCCCAUUGCAUUGCAUUUGUUUUCACUUCCCCUUAGUCUCCUCCAAUCUGUGACAAUUCUUCAGUGUGUCCUUGUCUUUCAAGACUUUAACUUUUGAGCUCCUGUACAAUAACGAAAAGGAUGAAUAAAAGAGUCUACAAGUAAGACAUAUGUCUUU
Molecule: long non-coding RNA, 329 nt
Organism: Panthera uncia (snow leopard)
Lineage: Eukaryota; Metazoa; Chordata; Mammalia; Carnivora; Felidae
Exons: 3
Source: RefSeq, a predicted model, not a curated record